This 1343-nucleotide ribosomal RNA is filed under the name uncultured bacterium. Its description in RNAcentral is "16S ribosomal RNA". It matches the Rfam family "Bacterial small subunit ribosomal RNA", at positions 28 to 1378 of the family's 1533-position model. The record is from RNAcentral.
GACGAACGCUGGCGGCGUGCUUAACACAUGCAAGUCGAACGGAAAGGCCCUGCUUUUGUGGGGUGCUCGAGUGGCGAACGGGUGAGUAACACGUGAGUAACCUGCCCUUGACUUUGGGAUAACUUCAGGAAACUGGGGCUAAUACCGGAUAGGAGCUCCUGCUGCAUGGUGGGGGUUGGAAAGUUUCGGCGGUUGGGGAUGGACUCGCGGCUUAUCAGCUUGUUGGUGGGGUAGUGGCUUACCAAGGCCUUGACGGGUAGCCGGCCUGAGAGGGUGACCGGCCACAUUGGGACUGAGAUACGGCCCAGACUCCUACGGGAGGCAGCAGUGGGGAAUAUUGCACAAUGGGCGGAAGCCUGAUGCAGCAACGCCGCGUGCGGGAUGACGGCCUUCGGGUUGUAAACCGCUUUCGCCUGUGACGAAGCGUGAGUGACGGUAAUGGGUAAAGAAGCACCGGCUAACUACGUGCCAGCAGCCGCGGUGAUACGUAGGGUGCGAGCGUUGUCCGGAUUUAUUGGGCGUAAAGGGCUCGUAGGUGGUUGAUCGCGUCGGAAGUGUAAUCUUGGGGCUUAACCCUGAGCGUGCUUUCGAUACGGGUUGACUUGAGGAAGGUAGGGGAGAAUGGAAUUCCUGGUGGAGCGGUGGAAUGCGCAGAUAUCAGGAGGAACACCAGUGGCGAAGGCGGUUCUCUGGGCCUUUCCUGACGCUGAGGAGCGAAAGCGUGGGGAGCGAACAGGCUUAGAUACCCUGGUAGUCCACGCUGUAAACGGUGGGUACUAGGUGUGGGGUCCAUUCCACGGGUUCCGUGCCGUAGCUAACGCUUUAAGUACCCCGCCUGGGGAGUACGGCCGCAAGGCUAAAACUCAAAGGAAUUGACGGGGCCCCGCACAAGCGGCGGAGCAUGCGGAUUAAUUCGAUGCAACGCGUAGAACCUUACCUGGGUUUGACAUGGAUCGGGAGUGCUCAGAGAUGGGUGUGCCUCUUUUGGGGUCGGUUCACAGGUGGUGCAUGGCUGUCGUCAGCUCGUGUCGUGAGAUGUUGGGUUAAGUCCCGCAACGAGCGCAACCCUUGUUCACUGUUGCCAGCACGUUAUGGUGGGGACUCAGUGGAGACCGCCGGGGUCAACUCGGAGGAAGGUGGGGAUGGCGUCAAGUCAUCAUGCCCCUUAUGUCCAGGGCUUCACGCAUGCUACAAUGGCUGGUACAGAGAGUGGCGAGCCUGUGAGGGUGAGCGAAUCUCGGAAAGCCGGUCUCAGUUCGGAUUGGGGUCUGCAACUCGACCUCAUGAAGUCGGAGUCGCUAGUAAUCGCAGAUCAGCAACGCUGCGGUGAAUACGUUCCCGGG